GGCGGCAUAGCUCAGCUGGCUAGAGCAUUCGGUUCAUACCCGACAGGUCAUUGGUUCAAAUCCGAUUGCCGCUACCA
RNAcentral lists this transfer RNA (77 nucleotides) under Clostridia bacterium. RNAcentral's name for it is "tRNA-Met". It matches the Rfam family "tRNA". From Rfam's summary of the family: Transfer RNA (tRNA) molecules are approximately 80 nucleotides in length. Their secondary structure includes four short double-helical elements and three loops (D, anti-codon, and T loops). Lineage: Bacteria; Bacillati; Bacillota; Clostridia. The record is from RNAcentral.